GCUCCGCCCCCUCGUGCCGCCGUAGCUCCGCCCCCUUUUCAGGCCCGCCCGCACUGCACAGCCCGCUGUCACAGUUUUAUAGAGUCUGCAUACCAAAGUAUUAACAUAUCUCCGAUGCUGUUGUUAUGGUGAUGGGAUGCACUUAGAGCCGGUAUACGUCAUCGGGUGGUCAGCGGUGUCUACAGGUGAUGACGCAACCGGAAAUUGGUCUACCGGGGCUCCGGGGAUGCUGCACGUGGUGUGUUAAGUUGUAUUAAGGUGAAGGUAUGGUGGCUGGUUAGGAUGAGGUGAUGUAAAUUCCAAGUCCAAUGAGUGAUCCUUCUAUUGAAACAAAAUGGCUUAACGCAUUUCCCUACGCAAGAGCAAGCAACUUCUUCACCAGCAUGUUGCCGGAAUUCUGGAAUUUGAUAAGCGUUUGUGAAGAGUGCUGUUACUAUAUGGUGGUUUUCUUUGGCAUGCAUGUGCAAUCGGAGAUGGGGUGCUGGAUGACACCCACCCAAAUGACGUCACCGUGGCAUGCAGGAAUAGGAGCAUGGAGACCCUUAUAGUGUGAAUAGAAAGAAUCUGAGAUUGAAAACACUAAAUAGCAAUUAAGUUGCUUGACCUGCUGUAGUUCUUGUCACUGCAUUGAUAAUGUAUUUUACAAUCCUUGGUGAGCUGCCAGAAAAUGCAUUCAUGAAGACCAGAAGUAGAUUUACAACUUAGUUGUUUAUUUACAAAGUGUUGGGUUGUAAAAAACCCAACCUUGUGACUGCGUAUAGGCAACAUUUAAAAGGGCAAUGCUUUUACCAGCAAAUCACGGCUAGUAAAAUCAUUGACCUUUUAAAUUUUGGUCCGAUGCUUUGUAAAUAAACCCCCUUGACUGGGCAGUUUUACAAAAUGAAGAUUGUUGUUUAAAGUAGAACUACUACUGCAGAAUUUAUUUAUAGGUGGAAAUCAGUAAUUGGUGUUAAAUAAAUACUAGUUUAAGAAUGACAUCUCAUCCACACCUAAGUGGGAAUGGUAAUUAUUAUUAUUAUUAUUAUUAUCAUCAUCAUCAGUAGUAGCAGCAGUAGUAUUUUAUAUAACACUGUGAAUCAGUUUAAGAGCUCUCUUAAAGGGCACAAUUCAAUUGUUGUUUUUUUCACUCUGAUUGCACCCAUAAAGCUUGGGUUUAGCCAUGUAAAACAGCUAAACCGGAAAAAAGUGCUGGGCGCAAUCACGUAAAAUGCCGUUUGGGUACCCAAACAGGUCACUUUUCGCGCAUUUCAGCUCACAACCCCUGGGAGUGCGAGCUGAAAUGUAGACUCCGGUAGCCAUUGCGACUGAACAGAGCUACAAUUGAAUAGUUUUGUUUGGGCGCCAUCUACUGACUGCCAGCGAAACAAUUGAAUUCCGUCCAAAGUCGGUUCUGUUCACGACCCUUACAUUUUUGGAAAACUGCGAUUGUAAAUAUGUAAGAUGAUAAAACAAAAAUGUCUGCAGCAAUACUCAUUGAUACCAACAAGCAGUGGCGUAGAUUGGACUUUGUGGGCCCCACAGCAACAUUUUGAAAGGGCCCCUGUCCCAGUGCUUCUAGAGAGACACCUGUCCACAGUCGUUGUUAAUUUUAUGCCCCAAAGUAGUACCCUAGUUUAUUUUCUGGACAAUAGUAGAGCCCUAGUUCACAUUAUGUCACAUUGUAGGGCUGCCAGUGCACAUUAUACAACACAGUAUCCCCAAUUCACAUUAUGACAUACAGUGUACCCAGUUCAUAUAAUGCCAAAUCAUAGAGCCUCCACUUCAUAUUAUGCUACAUUACUGAACCCCCAGUUCAUAUAAUGCCAAACUAUAGUGCCUUCACUUCACAUUAUGCCACAUUACAGUAACCUACUUCAUAUUAUGUAACAAUAUAGUGCCCUCUUGUUUAUUUUAUACUACAUUACAAUGCACAGGUCCAGAGGUAUAACUAGAUAUAUUGUAGGUCCCAAGGCAAAAGUUUGUAAGUGCCCCUAUGUAUCACCCAAUGGUGAAUAAUGUAUAUAACACAUGUAUCUGUGACAUGGAAGGUGGUCCCUCUAAGCUCUGGGCCCCAUAGCAGCUGCACUCCCUGCACCUAUGGUAGCUAUACCCUUAUAUAUAGACAUGUAACUGUGACAGGGAAGGUGGCCCCUCUAAGCUCUGGGCCCCAUAGCAGCUGCACUCCCUGCAUCUAUGGUAACUAUACCCUUGUAUAUAGACAUGUAACUGUGACAGGGAAGGUGGCCCCUCUAAGCUCUGGGCCCCAUAGCAGCUGCACUCCCUGCACCUAUGGUAGCUACACCCUUGUAUAUAACACAUGUAUCUG
Molecule: long non-coding RNA, 2305 nt
Organism: Pseudophryne corroboree (corroboree frog)
Lineage: Eukaryota; Metazoa; Chordata; Amphibia; Anura; Myobatrachidae
Exons: 5
Source: RefSeq, a predicted model, not a curated record